UACGUAGGGUGCGAGCGUUGUCCGGAUUUAUUGGGCGUAAAGAGCUCGUAGGCGGUUUGUCGCGUCGGCCGUGAAAUCUCCACGCUUAACGUGGAGCGUGCGGUCGAUACGGGCAGACUUGAGUUCGGUAGGGGAGACUGGAAUUCCUGGUGUAGCGGUGAAAUGCGCAGAUAUCAGGAGGAACACCGGUGGCGAAGGCGGGUCUCUGGGCCGAUACUGACGCUGAGGCGCGAAAGCGUGGGGAGCAAACAGG
This 253-nucleotide ribosomal RNA is filed under the name uncultured bacterium. RNAcentral describes it as "partial 16S ribosomal RNA". It matches the Rfam family "Bacterial small subunit ribosomal RNA", at positions 524 to 776 of the family's 1533-position model. The record is from RNAcentral.